GGGGAUAUUGCACAAUGGGGGGAACCCUGAUGCAGCGACGCCGCGUGGGUGAAGGAGUGCUUCGGCAUGUAAAGCCCUAUCGGCAGGGAAGAAGCAAGACGGUACCUGACUAAGAAGCCCCGGCUAACUACGUGCCAGCCGCCGCGGUAAUACGUAGGGGGCGAGCGUUAUCCGGAUUCACUGGGUGUAAAGGGAGCGUAGACGGCCAUGCAAGCCAGGGGUGAAAGCCCGGGGCCCAACCCCGGGACUGCCCUUGGAACUGCAUGGCUGGAGUGCGGGAGGGGCAGGCGGAAUUCCUGGUGUAGCGGUGAAAUGCGUAGAUAUCAGGAGGAACACCGGCGGCGAAGGCGGCCUGCUGGACCGCGACUGACGUUGAGGCUCGAAAGCGUGGGGAGCGAACAG
This 402-nucleotide ribosomal RNA is filed under the name uncultured bacterium. Its description in RNAcentral is "bacterial SSU rRNA". It matches the Rfam family "Bacterial small subunit ribosomal RNA", at positions 357 to 775 of the family's 1533-position model. The record is from RNAcentral.